RNAcentral lists this ribosomal RNA (253 nucleotides) under uncultured bacterium. RNAcentral describes it as "partial 16S ribosomal RNA". It matches the Rfam family "Bacterial small subunit ribosomal RNA", at positions 524 to 776 of the family's 1533-position model. The record is from RNAcentral.
UACGUAGGGGGCUAGCGUUGUCCGGAAUCAUUGGGCGUAAAGCGCGCGUAGGCGGCCAGAUAAGUCCGGUGUGAAAGUCACAGGCUCAACCUGUGAAUGCCGCUGGAAACUGUCUGGCUAGAGUCCGGAAGGGGCGAGUGGAAUUCCUGGUGUAGCGGUGAAAUGCGCAGAUAUCAGGAGGAACACCGAUGGCGAAGGCAGGUCUCUGGGCCAUAACUGACGCUGAGAAGCGAAAGCAUGGGGAGCGAACAGG